This 1560-nucleotide ribosomal RNA is filed under the name Triticum aestivum (bread wheat). RNAcentral's name for it is "partial small subunit ribosomal RNA". The record is from RNAcentral. Lineage: Eukaryota; Viridiplantae; Streptophyta; Magnoliopsida; Poales; Poaceae.
AUGCCUAGACGGACAGAAGAUGCUGAACCAAAAGAGUGCUUGGAGUUUGAUGAUAAUGAAGAGGAAGAGGUAGAAGAGGAAGAAAUUGAGUAUGAAGAAAUUGAGGAGGAGGUAGAGGAGGAGGUGGUGGAGGAGGAGGAGGAGGAGGAGGAGGAAGUGGAGGAGGUAGAGGAGGAGGAAGACCCUGAAGAAAGAGAAGUUCUUGAUGAAAUUGAUGCUAGUCAUGACAGUGACAGUAAAUCGGAAGUUGUCCCUCUUCCUCAGCAGGAUGGUGCCAAAGAUGGGAGCGAUAAAGAGAAGCAUGCCGAACUUCUUGCUCUUCCUCCUCAUGGAUCUGAAGUAUAUUUUGGGGGCAUCUCCAGCGAUGCAUCUUCUGACGAUCUCAAGAAACUAUGCGAGCCAGUUGGCGAAGUUGUGGAAGUUAGAAUAAUGCUGAGCAAGAAGGAUAGUAGGGGAUAUGCUUUUGUUACUUUCAGAACUAAUGACCUGGCUUUGAAGGCCAUCGAGAAAUUGAACAAGGCAACUUUCAAGGGAAAGAAGCUAAGAGUUUCUUCCUCCCAGGCUAAGAACAAGCUAUUUGUUGGAAAUAUACCUCACAGUUGGUCAUUCGAUGAUUUUAAAAAAGCAGUGGAAGAAGUUGGUCCUGGAGUAUUAAAAGUUGAUCUGAUUAAGGAUCCACGUACAGAUCGCAAUCGGGGUUAUGGUUUCGUUGAAUACUAUAAUAAUGCAUGCGCUGAGUAUUCAAGGCAGAAGAUGACUGCACCAAAUUUCAAACUAGAUACAAAUGCUCCUACUGUCAGCUGGGCAGAUCCUAAGAAUGGCGAUUCUGCCUCUACAGGCUCUACUUCACAGGUCAAAUCUGUAUAUGUCAAAAACCUGCCCAAGAAUGUUACUCAAGGGCAGCUGAAAAAGCUGUUUGAGCGCCAUGGUGAAAUCAUAAAAAUUGUUCUCCCCCCUUCAAAAGAUGGUCAUGAUAAUAGGUAUGGUUUUGUUCACUUUAAAGACCGCCACAUGGCCAUGAAGGCUGUGAAGAGCACAGAGAAAUAUGAGCUUGACGGUCAGCUCCUGGACUGCUCACUCGCAAAACCUCCUGCUGAUAAAAAAGACGAUACAGUAUCAUUGCCUACUGCCAAAGGAGGUCCGUUGCUGCAUGCUCCGCUUGGAUAUGGUAUGCCACGGCCAGAUCCUUAUGGUGCGCCUCCUGCUUAUAGUGCCCCUCCUGCUUAUGGUGCACCUCCUGCUUAUGGUGGACAGCCUCUGCUCUAUGCUCCAGGAGCUCCUCCAGGUGCAGCAAUGGUUCCAAUGCUUCUACCUGAUGGCCGUCUUGUAUAUGUUGUGCAACAGCCUGGAGCGCAGCAACAUUUCGCUUCCCCUCCGCCCCAGGUGCGGCAACAUCAGCAUUUCACGUCUCCUCCGCCACAGGCACGGCAAAUUGGACGCAGUGGUGGCAGCGGUGGCGGUGGAGGCAGUGGUGGAUCGAGUAGGUCCGGUUCCGGUACAAAGCGCCCAAGGGGAGAUGACAACAACAGCAGCAGUCGCAACCGACAACGCCGGUAUUGA